RNAcentral lists this long non-coding RNA (264 nucleotides) under Elaeis guineensis (African oil palm). Its description in RNAcentral is "long non-coding RNA (EGUI_LNC034851)". The record is from RNAcentral. Lineage: Eukaryota; Viridiplantae; Streptophyta; Magnoliopsida; Arecales; Arecaceae.
CCCUCCAAUGGUAAUCUACACAGAAAUUGAACCAAAGACAAUGCUCCUCCUUCACCUUGCUUCAAGAGUUCUAGCCCCUAGAACUCGACUAGCCACCAAUCGAUUAGAUCUUUCUUCAAACUUGAGUUUGAACCUCUCAGAACCACCCACUGGAUUUGACCAUCUUUUUUUGGACCUCUUAAAUCCUUAGAGCUAUUAGGAUUAGGCUUGUCUUAAAAGAACAAGCCUUUAUCCUAAACCCUAGAGUUGUAAGAGAGGGAGAGA